This 72-nucleotide transfer RNA is filed under the name Platycephalus sp. 1 JJX-2020. RNAcentral describes it as "tRNA-Thr". It matches the Rfam family "tRNA". From Rfam's summary of the family: Transfer RNA (tRNA) molecules are approximately 80 nucleotides in length. Their secondary structure includes four short double-helical elements and three loops (D, anti-codon, and T loops). The record is from RNAcentral. RNAcentral also lists the same sequence under 2 other names. Lineage: Eukaryota; Metazoa; Chordata; Actinopteri; Perciformes; Platycephalidae.
GCAUUAGUAGCUCAGCGCCAGAGCGCCGACCUUGUAAGCCGGACGCCGGGGGAUAAACUCCCCCCUACUGCU